Cherax quadricarinatus is the source of this 557-nucleotide non-coding RNA. The record is from RefSeq and is a predicted model, not a curated record. Lineage: Eukaryota; Metazoa; Arthropoda; Malacostraca; Decapoda; Parastacidae.
UUAGCAGGUCUGACUGCAAGCUUUCCUCUUGUCUGGCCCAGUUAAAUGGAAGUGCCCCUGGGUUGUCAACCAAGCAGACUUGAGGUAAAAGUUUGAGGCUUAGAUAAAAAUUUAUGAAAACAUACUAUACAGCCGCUCCUCGCUUGGCAACGUACUAUUUACCGACGACUUACACAGGCUCUGACCAGUAAUGCAUACCCAAGUGUAUAAGGUGCCCAGAUGUUAUGGCUUAGAUGUCGCUCCAAACAGCUAAUAUCCCAAACCCCUCCUUCAACAUGCAGGCUUUGUACUUCCAACCUCCAGGACUCGAGUCUGGCUAGACCCUUGUAGGUUUGUAAUUUCUUGAUUACAGUAUUAAUUAUCUGUUCACAAAAUAUUACCCUGUUCAACAGCUUGUCCAGUCUCAAAAGCCAUUAAGUCUCCAUUCACAACAAUCUUAACAUGCUCACAUGCCUGCUGCAUAUCUAGGCCCCUUGCACACCCCCCCCCCCUCCUAUCUGUGCUCUGACCUUGUGGUUUUUGUGCUCUUGAUAAUUACCUCCCCCCCUCCCCUCCUA